CGCCGGACCCUGUGCGAUGGAAUUGCGUGAACCGAGUCAGGUUGGGAACAAAGCAGCUCUAAGCGUUAAGACCUUGCGCGUAGGCCAUCUGUCGGGC
This 97-nucleotide signal recognition particle RNA is filed under the name Lentisphaeria bacterium. Its description in RNAcentral is "signal recognition particle sRNA small type". It matches the Rfam family "Bacterial small signal recognition particle RNA". Rfam says of the family: The signal recognition particle (SRP) is a universally conserved ribonucleoprotein involved in the co-translational targeting of proteins to membranes. The record is from RNAcentral. Lineage: Bacteria; Pseudomonadati; Lentisphaerota; Lentisphaeria.